GAUGAACGCUAGCUACAGGCUUAACACAUGCAAGUCGAGGGGCAGCAUGAACUUAGCUUGCUAAGUUUGAUGGCGACCGGCGCACGGGUGAGUAACACGUAUCCAACCUGCCGAUGACUCGGGGAUAGCCUUUCGAAAGAAAGAUUAAUACCCGAUGGCAUAGUUCUUCCGCAUGGUGGAACUAUUAAAGAAUUUCGGUCAUCGAUGGGGAUGCGUUCCAUUAGGUUGUUGGCGGGGUAACGGCCCACCAAGCCUUCGAUGGAUAGGGGUUCUGAGAGGAAGGUCCCCCACAUUGGAACUGAGACACGGUCCAAACUCCUACGGGAGGCAGCAGUGAGGAAUAUUGGUCAAUGGACGAGAGUCUGAACCAGCCAAGUAGCGUGAAGGAUGACUGCCCUAUGGGUUGUAAACUUCUUUUAUACGGGAAUAAAGUGAGGCACGUGUGCCUUUUUGUAUGUACCGUAUGAAUAAGGAUCGGCUAACUCCGUGCCAGCAGCCGCGGUAAUACGGAGGAUCCGAGCGUUAUCCGGAUUUAUUGGGUUUAAAGGGAGCGUAGGCGGACGCUUAAGUCAGUUGUGAAAGUUUGCGGCUCAACCGUAAAAUUGCAGUUGAUACUGGGUGUCUUGAGUACAGUAGAGGCAGGCGGAAUUCGUGGUGUAGCGGUGAAAUGCUUAGAUAUCACGAAGAACUCCGAUUGCGAAGGCAGCUUGCUGGACUGUAACUGACGCUGAUGCUCGAAAGUGUGGGUAUCAAACAGGAUUAGAUACCCUGGUAGUCCACACAGUAAACGAUGAAUACUCGCUGUUUGCGAUAUACAGUAAGCGGCCAAGCGAAAGCGUUAAGUAUUCCACCUGGGGAGUACGCCGGCAACGGUGAAACUCAAAGGAAUUGACGGGGGCCCGCACAAGCGGAGGAACAUGUGGUUUAAUUCGAAGCAACGCGAAGAACCUUACCAGUCCUUGACAUCCCGAUGACCGACCUGUAACGAGGUCUUCUCUUCGGAGCAUCGGAGACAGGUGGUGCAUGGUUGUCGUCAGCUCGUGUCGUGAGAUGUUGGGUUAAGUCCCGCAACGAGCGCAACCCCUGUCCUUAGUAGCCAGCAGUUCGGCUGGGCACUCUAGGGAGACUGCCGGGGAUAACCCGGAGGAAGGUGGGGACGACGUCAAAUCAUCAUGCCCCUUAUGGGCUGGGGCUACACACGUGCUACGAAUGGUGCUAACAAAGUGAAGCAAGCUGGUGACGGUAAGCAAAUCGACGAAAAAUGGCGUCUCGAGUUUCGGAUUGUAGUCUGCGAACUCGAACUACGUGAAAGCUGGAAAUCGCUAGUGAAUCGCGGAUUCGGAAAUGCUGCGGUGAAAACGUUCCCGGGUUC
Molecule: ribosomal RNA, 1372 nt
Filed under: uncultured bacterium
Lineage: Bacteria
Description: partial 16S small subunit ribosomal RNA
Rfam family: Bacterial small subunit ribosomal RNA
Source: RNAcentral